GUCUGGCAAUGCUCACAUAUACUAAAAUUGAAACAAUACAGAGAACAUCAGCAUGGCCCCUGCGCAAGGAUGACAUACAAAUUCAUGAAGUGUUCCAUAUGUUU
RNAcentral lists this small nuclear RNA (104 nucleotides) under Salvator merianae (Argentine black and white tegu). Lineage: Eukaryota; Metazoa; Chordata; Lepidosauria; Squamata; Teiidae. The record is from RNAcentral.